This 408-nucleotide RNase P RNA is filed under the name Streptomyces chumphonensis. RNAcentral's name for it is "Bacterial RNase P class A". It matches the Rfam family "Bacterial RNase P class A". Rfam says of the family: Ribonuclease P (RNase P) is a ubiquitous endoribonuclease, found in archaea, bacteria and eukarya as well as chloroplasts and mitochondria. Lineage: Bacteria; Bacillati; Actinomycetota; Actinomycetes; Kitasatosporales; Streptomycetaceae. The record is from Rfam by way of RNAcentral.
CGAGCCGUGCGGGCGGCCGCGGCGUGACCUCACCGGUCGCGUCGAGGAACGUCCGGACUCCGCAGAGCAGGGUGGUAGGUAACGCCUACCUGGGGCGACCCACGGGAAAGUGCCACAGAAAGCAGACCGCCGGGGGCCGGAGACGGCGCCCGGUAAGGGUGAAACGGUGGUGUAAGAGACCACCAGCGCCCAGGGUGACCUGGGCGGCUCGGUAAACCCCACCCGGAGCAAGGUCAAGAGGGGCCGUCGCGAGGCGGCCCUGCGCGGACGCAUGAGGGCUGCUCGCCCCAGUUCGCGGGUAGACCGCACCGAGGCCGGUGGCGACACCGGCCCCAGAUGGAUGGCCGCCUCCCGGCCGCCCGCGAGGGCGACCGGAGACAGAAUCCGGCGUACAGCACGACUCGUCUG